This 1956-nucleotide ribosomal RNA is filed under the name Lacticaseibacillus rhamnosus. Its description in RNAcentral is "partial 23S ribosomal RNA". It matches the Rfam family "Bacterial large subunit ribosomal RNA", at positions 1 to 1991 of the family's 2925-position model. The record is from RNAcentral. Lineage: Bacteria; Bacillati; Bacillota; Bacilli; Lactobacillales; Lactobacillaceae.
AGAUUAAGCAAAAAAGAGCGCAGGGUGGAUGCCUUGGCACUAAGAGCCGAAGAAAGACGUGAUAAGCUGCGAAAAGCUGCGGGGAGAUGCAAAUAAUCUUUGAUCCGCAGAUGUCUGAAUGGGGAAACCCGGUACGAAGAACUCGUAUCAUCCAUACGCCAAUCCAUAACGUAUGGAGGGGAACCCGGUGAACUGAAACAUCUAAGUAGCCGGAGGAAGAGAAAGAAACAUCGAUUUUGUUAGUAGCGGCGAGCGAAAGCGAAAGAGGCCAAACCGGAGUGCGUGCACUCCGGGGUUCGGACCGCAUUUAAGAUUCAGUGAUUCUAGCAGAAAGGUUUGGGAAAGCCUGCCGGAGAGGGUGAAAGCCCCGUAAGCGAAAGGAGAACUGACUGAGCGGGAUCCAGAGUACAUCGAGACACGAGAAACCUUGAUGGAAUGAGCGGGGACCACCCCGUAAGCCUAAAUACUACUUAGUGACCGAUAGCGCAUAGUACUGUGAAGGAAAGGUGAAAAGGACCCCGGGAGGGGAGUGAAAGAGAACCUGAAACCCUGUGUUUACAAGCUGUGGAAGUUCUUUAAAUGAACAACCGCGUACUUUUUGUAGAACGGUCCGGCGAGUUGCGGAUACUGGCAAGGUUAAGCACUUAAGGUGCGGAGCCGAAGGGAUACCAAGUCUUAACAGGGCGUUAAGUCAGUAUACGCAGACCCGAAACCGGGUGAUCUAUCCAUGUCCAGGUUGAAGUUGUCGUAAAAGACAAUGGAGGACCGAAGCCACAUCCGUUGAAAAGGGUGGGCAUGAGGUGUGGAUAGGGGAGAAAUUCCAAUCGAACCCGGAGAUAGCUGGUUCUCCUCGAAAUAGCUUUAGGGCUAGCCUCGAUUUAGUCUUAUGGAGGUAGAGCACUGAAUUUCCGCGGGGGCGUCAAAGCUUACCAAAGAAUAUCAAACUCCGAAUGCCAUGUAGAUGAUGAUCGGGAGUCAGACUGCACGAGAUAAGUUGGGCAGUCAAAAGGGAAAGAGCCCAGACCACCGGCUAAGGUCCCAAAGUGCGUGUUAAGUGGAAAAGGAUGUGGGAAUUCGAAGACAACUAGGAUGUUGGCUCAGAAGCAGCCAUACAUUCAAAGAGUGCGUAACAGCUCACUAGUCGAGAGUUCCUGCGCCGAAAAUGUCCGGGGCUGAAACACGACACCGAAGCCGUGGACUCGCAAUGCGAGUGGUAGAGGAGCAUUCUUAAAACCGACGAAGCUGUACCGGAAGGAGCAGUGGAGGGAUAAGAAGAGAGAAUGCCGGAAUGAGUAGCGAGAGAAAGGUGGGAAUCCUUUCGGCCGAAUAUCUAAGGUUUCCAGAGUAAAGCUGAUCUGCUCUGGGUAAGUCGGGGCCUAAGCACAGGUCGCAAGACGUAAGCGAUGGAUAACAGGUUUAGAUUCCUGUACCACGCAUUAUCAGAACUGUAGGGACGCAUGUGGAAAGCACGGGCCGGGAAUGGAAAGACCGGUACAAGCGGGGUAGGUGUACAAUAGGCAAAUCCGUUGUAUGAUCCGAAGACGUGAUGUGGAGCGAAAUAAAGUAGCAAAGCGUGUGAGCCAUGUGCCGAGAAAAGCUGCUAUUGUGUAAUGCGUGCCCGUACCGUAAACCGACACAGGUGGAUGAGGAGAGAAUCCUAAGGCCGACGGAAGAAGCAUUGUUAAGGAAUUCGGCAAAAUGACCCCGUAACUUCGGGAGAAGGGGUGCCUGCGAGAGCAGGCCGCAGAGAAUAGGCUCAAGCAACUGUUUAGCAAAAACACAGGUCUAUGCGAAACCGAAAGGUGAAGUAUAUGGGCUGACGCCUGCCCGGUGCUGGAAGGUUAAGAGGAGAGGUUAGCGAAAGCGAAGCUUUGAAUUUAAGCCCCAGUAAACGGCGGCCGUAACUAUAACGGUCCUAAGGUAGCGAAAUUCCUUGUCGGGUAAGUUCCGACCCGC